This is a small nuclear RNA of Jaculus jaculus (lesser Egyptian jerboa), 107 nucleotides long. NCBI's taxonomy places the organism in Eukaryota, Metazoa, Chordata, Mammalia, Rodentia, Dipodidae. The record is from Ensembl.
GUGCUUGCUUUGGUGGUAUAUAUAUUAAAAUUGUAAUGAUACAGAGAAGAUUAGCAUGGCUACUGUGGAAGGAGGAUACACAAAACAUGAAAAUGCUGAGCUAGGCA